This 1395-nucleotide unclassified non-coding RNA is filed under the name uncultured fungus. RNAcentral's name for it is "sequence contains 18S rRNA gene, ITS1, 5.8S rRNA gene, ITS2, 28S rRNA gene". The stretch from base 453 to 1395 matches the Rfam family "Eukaryotic large subunit ribosomal RNA", at positions 1 to 961 of the family's 3401-position model. The record is from RNAcentral. Lineage: Eukaryota; Fungi.
AGAUGGAUCAUUCACAGUUACACUUUUCUCUAUGGUCCAUGCAUGACUACCCUUCGUUAGCAUGCAUGAAUACUUGUAACAAACGAAUAUAAGGCAAAUGGUUGAUGCUUUGAGCAAUACGAACUGAAAGCAGUUGGUUAUUCACUCUGAAUUAAUGAACAUUAUUAACUUUACGACUUUCAGCGAUGGAUGUCUCGGAUCUCGUAACGAUGAAGGACGCAGCUAGCUGCGAUACGCAGUGUGACUUGCAAACUUCUGAGAAUCAUUAGAUUUUUGAACGCAAAAGGCACUCUUAGGCCCUGCUUAGGAGUAUGUUCGCUUCAGUGCUUUAUAUAUUUGUUGUCUUAAUUGGUAGACAACGCGGAUAGUUGCUGUUCUUACGGCUGCUGCAAUUGAAUGGUCUUACCUCUUUGGUGAACCCUUAGAGAAAAUGGCCAAGUUGUUUUUCAAACAAGCCUGAAUUUGAGCAAGGCUACCCGCUGAAUUUAAGCAUAUUAUUAAGCGGAGGAAAAGAAACUAACUAGGAUUCCCUUAGUAACGGCGAGUGAACAGGGAAGAGCUCAAACUGAAAAUCGGCAGCUUGCUGUCGAAUUGUAGUCUCACGAAGUGCAGCUUGUGUUUGUUCUGGGCUAAGUCUCUUGGAAAAGAGUACCACAGAGGGUGAAAGUCCCGUCUUUGCUCAUGGACCACUCACGUUCGGUGCAUUUUCAAAGAGUCGCGUUCCUUGAGAUUGGAGCGCUAAGUGGGUGAUAAAUUUCAUCUAAAGCUAAAUACUAACGAGAUUCCGAUAGCAUACAAGUACCGUGAGGGAAAGAUGAAAAGGACUUUGGAAAGAGAGUUAAAAGGAACUGAAAUUGCUGAAAGGUAAGCGGAGAGUCUCGGCGGUCUAGCAGUUCUCGGUAUUUGGCGGGGUCGUUAUUGGCUCUAUUCGAAUUCUAGAGUUCUGCGGUGACUCUGGAAGUACUUGUUCUCACUGAGCAAAGCAUUGAUGUGUUCCCAUUCGGGUUCACUUCUUUGUUGUUUUCAGCUUGAAUGAGUUUGAUGCUACUGCAACACAUCAGUGGUUGUAGUAUAGUAUUCCAGAGAUGUCGUUUCUCUUUGUCCCGUCUUGAAACACGGACCAAGGAGUCUAACUUAUGUGCGAGUACAAGAGUGUCAAACUCACGUGCGAAAUGAAAGUAAUCGUCAGGAAGGGUAACCUGCACUGACGCCCGGCUACCAAGCUGAGGCUGAGCAUAUAGGUUAGGACCCGAAAGAUGGUGAACUAUGCCUGAGUAGGGUGAAGCCAGAGGAAACUCUGGUGGAAGCUCGUAGCGAUACUGACGUGCAAAUCGUUCGUCAAACUUGGGUAUAGGGGCGAAAGACUAAUCGAACCAUCUAGUAGCUGGUUCCCUC